UGGAAUCUCACUAGGUCGGGGGAAUUCACAGUUAAAUCCAUGUAUGUUGCUGUUAUCAACUCCAGCUCGAUUCCUACUUCCAAGCAUGUGUGGGAUGUCAAAGUUCCUUUGAAGAUUAAGGUGUUUAUGUGGUUUCUUCAUAAACAAGUCAUCUUAACAAAGGAUAAUUUAAAAAAGCGCAAUUGGACAGGUCCUACUAGGUGUAGUUUCUGUGAUCAGGGUGAAACCAUUAAGCAUUUAUUCCUUGAGUGCCCACUAGCUAGAAUUCUUUGGACAACUGUUCAUGUUGCUUUCAAUAUUACUCCACCAAAUUCGGUGAAUAUGAUGUUUGGAGCUUGGCUUAAUAGGGUAGAGCCCGGGUUAGCUAAACAUAUUCGCGUGGGGGUGUGCGCCUUAGUGUGGGCACUGUGGAAUUGCAGAAAUGAUCUUGUUUUUAACAGAACAACAAAAACUCAUGUUUUG
This 462-nucleotide ribosomal RNA is filed under the name Triticum aestivum (bread wheat). RNAcentral describes it as "partial small subunit ribosomal RNA". Lineage: Eukaryota; Viridiplantae; Streptophyta; Magnoliopsida; Poales; Poaceae. The record is from RNAcentral.